AUGAGAAGGCAGCAGGUGUGCCAAAUAUGUGGCGACACUGUAGGCAGUUCGGCCAACGGUGGCGUCUUUCUUGCCUGCAACAAGUGUGCCUUCCCAGUCUGCCGCCCUUGCUAUGAGUAUGAAUGCAAGGAAGGGAACAAGUGCUGGUGCCAGACUAGAUACAAGAGGCUGUGA
RNAcentral lists this ribosomal RNA (174 nucleotides) under Triticum aestivum (bread wheat). Its description in RNAcentral is "partial small subunit ribosomal RNA". Lineage: Eukaryota; Viridiplantae; Streptophyta; Magnoliopsida; Poales; Poaceae. The record is from RNAcentral.